UCCUACGGGAGGCAGCAGUGGGGAAUAUUGCGCAAUGGGCGAAAGCCUGACGCAGCAACGCCGCGUGCGGGAUGAAGGCCUUCGGGUUGUAAACCGCUUUCAGUGGGGACGAAAUUGACGGUACCCACAGAAGAAGCCCCGGCCAACUACGUGCCAGCAGCCGCGGUAACACGUAGGGGGCGAGCGUUGUCCGGAUUUAUUGGGCGUAAAGAGCUCGUAGGCGGCUCAGUAAGUCAGGUGUGAAAACUCCAGGCUCAACCUGGAGACGCCACCUGAUACUGCUGUGGCUAGAGUCCGGUAGGGGAGCAUGGAAUUCCUGGUGUAGCGGUGAAAUGCGCAGAUAUCAGGAGGAACACCAGUGGCGAAGGCGGUGCUCUGGGCCGGAACUGACGCUGAGGAGCGAAAGCGUGGGGAGCAAACAGGAUUAGAUACCCUGGUAGA
RNAcentral lists this ribosomal RNA (441 nucleotides) under uncultured bacterium. Its description in RNAcentral is "bacterial SSU rRNA". It matches the Rfam family "Bacterial small subunit ribosomal RNA", at positions 337 to 794 of the family's 1533-position model. The record is from RNAcentral.